GACGAACGCUGGCGGCAGGCCUAACACAUGCAAGUCGAGCGAGCGGUGGACGUGUUAGUAAUGUAUGGGGAUCCGCCCGAUAGAGGGGGAUAACUUCUGGACACGUUGUCUAAUACCCCAUACUAUCGUACACCCCUAUAUGGGUAUAGCUUGUAGGUGGGGUAACGUUUCAUCUAGGCGACGAUCUCUAGCUGGUCUGAGAGGAUGAUAAGCCAGACUGGGCCUGAGACACGGCCCAGCCUCCUACGUGAGGCAGCAGUGGGGAAUAUUGCACAAUGGGCGCAAGCAUGAUGCAGCCAUGCCGCGUGUAUGAAGAAGGCCUUAGGGUUGUAAAGUACUUUCAGCGGGGAGGCGUUACCCGAAGAAGAAGCACCGGCUAACUCCGUGCCAGCAGCCGCGGUAAUUA
This 406-nucleotide ribosomal RNA is filed under the name uncultured bacterium. Its description in RNAcentral is "partial 16S ribosomal RNA". It matches the Rfam family "Bacterial small subunit ribosomal RNA", at positions 28 to 525 of the family's 1533-position model. The record is from RNAcentral.